CUGUAACCUUGAUGUCGAUGAGAUGUACUUUUUGUGUGAAGUUUCUUAAAAUCACAAUUUUCUACUCAACUAUUCUCUUUUUGUUCUUCUGGUUAAUGUUGAAUCUGAACAUGUUUAGUUCUGGAAUUUAAUUCAAACCUCUGAUUUUGCAUAUGUUAGAUACUUCUUUUUAUAUAGUGAAGCUUCUAGAUUUCAGUGAAGUGUAUUAUUCAUGUCAGGAGCCUUUCUCAUAUUUUAGUUGAUGAAUAGGUUUCAAGGAAGAAAAGUUUGCUUGGCAAACUGCUAAAUUCAGCUUCUGAGGCUAAAGAGCUUCAAGAAAAGUAAGGAGUUUGUUCUUUAUUUUCAGACGUGGUUUAUUUGUGAUUUUUACUUGACUAUGAGUGCUUUUUGUCAAUAACCCAAACACUUUAUUCUAUCACAGCCUGUUCGAACAGUGUGCUUUAGAGAAACUUGUAGGAUUGGCUUACGAAAAGUACCGGGUAUUUUUUCUAUUCUAUAUCCUUUCUUUAUUUAAUUGAUUUUAAAUGCGCAUUUCCCUUUUAAAAGUAUGUAAAUAUAAUUUGUCUGCGUCAUGGAUUGACACAUCAAAUUUAUUUGUGAAUAUUACAUGUAUAUCCAUCAAGUUUGUUUGUUACAGGGAAUAUGAUUUCGUCCAUGUCAAUAUAUUCUUCCACCUUAAAAUUUAUGACAAUCCUAGUCAAUCAUUUUUUCCUUUUUUACCCUACCUUUUUUAUCAACUGGAAAAAUUAGUACAAGAGGCAGGGUGACAUACCAGCCUUACCUCCGAAGGUCGAGGAAGAAAAAGAAGGAUUAGCAAAAGCUGAAAUUGAAAGUACUACUCUUGUUAUAGUGAGCCAUUACAAAAUUUAAAUUUGGGAGUACUACACUCAUUACAACAAUAGAGACAGAGGAAUGCAGUAACUCAAUUGACCCAAGAAAACUCAAGAAAAUAAUAUAACUAAGUCUGCAAGCAGGCACUAAAGACAACCAAAUACACAAGCAAAUUACACAUAGCAUGAGUAUGCAGUCACAUGUGCAGUAAAUUAAAUAAAAUAAAGUAAUGCAAUGAUGGAUCCUACAGUAGGCUGGAAAGCAAAUAUGCAAUAACCUAUGGCCUAAUAUGCAGCAGUCACACUACAUGGAAAUGAAUAAAUCCUACUGCUUUCUCUUCCAUUGUCCACUUGAGACUCAUUCUCAAAUAUAGAAAGCAAACUUUGGUAUGGAUUUAUUAUCAGAUCUGGGAGAGAUUCAUCACCGAAGUUUUGGUAAGCAUUGGAAAAGCAUCCCAGCAGGUUAUUGAAGAAGUAGACCAAUCUCAAUCAUCUACUUUGCAUUAGAAAACAAGGCUGUUUAGUCAGUUUCUUUGGGGCCUGCAGAUAGGGAUUCUCGUUCUGUCUGUAUGUAAGAUGCCAAUAAUCGUCCCCAUUAAGUCUUUAGCAUAUAAUAUUCUGCUCUAUUUAGUUUUGUUAUCUUUAUUUUUUAUUAGUCAGUCUUAGAAUCUUGUUCAGUCUUAAAAUCAUGUGACCAUUAUUAUUGAAUCUAAUGCUGUUUUAGUUGUUGAAUCUGCCGGACAUUUUGUAUGUCAAUCCUGAAGAUAUAGUUACUAACACACUAGGAAAUUCCAUAUCUUAAUAGAACGGAGAUUUUGGUAAGAUUAUUGAUGUUUGCUAUGGGAAUGCUUUAUGUACAAUUGUAAACAUAAUCAAAUAUCCCUACCCACCUAAACAAGAAAAACAAAAGAAAAGAUUAAGAAGAUCAGAGACAAAAACAUAUUAAGCCCUUGUUUGAGCCCCAUUUUGGAGGAGAAAAUGAAUUUUUGAAUAGUGUAUUGAUGGGAAAUGUAUGGCUAAAAAAUAAGAAAAAUUUUUGAUUUGCGUAUAAUAUUAUUUUAUUGAAAAAUGUGUGAUUGAAAUGGUGUCAAAUUACUGUUGAAGAAUGUAUUUUGUUGAAAAAAUGGGGCUCAAACAAGGGCUAAAUAUGAAAAAGAAGAAAAACGAACAAAGACUGGAGAUUGCUUCCUUCUCGAAAGUCUAGUUUCCUUAUAUUCACCUAUGGAUUGAAGGAACGAAAAAAAUAAUAUGACUUCUAGAAUCUAGAUCAUCUUUGGGUUGGCUUAAAAAGUUACUUAAGUUUAAUAAAUGAAUAAAUUUAAAUAAUAGUCAAUGUUGGAAAUGAUUAGUUAUUUUGAUAGUAAGGUCAGAAUUACUUUCAAAUGUGUUACCAAAAGUUAUUCGUCAUCCCUCCCAAUGGAGAUCCCUUUCGUCAAAUCCAAAACCACCCACCCAACACCUAAUCACCCAACCACCGCCUAACCACUAGUCGGUGCCGACGACAACUACGACGACGGCCAUAAGGCCCCAUUUGACAAACCCCAAAUCAUCGGCAGCCACAACUUGACCCACACAUAGGCGGUGCCCUAGGUGGAAACCUUAGCAUCACCAUCGAAAUGCUAUAAGUAGAGGCAUGCUUUUUUGGGUUGACAUGGAGGUCCUAGGCGUCGGCAAACAAGGCGGAAGGGGGGAGUCGAGUUACAUUAGGCACCAUCUGGGAUCCCAUCCCAGUUUACGCAAGAUGUGGCCGUCCUCCUGAUAGACGUGCCUGACCGGCGGACUUUGCAACCAUUCUGACGUCGAAGGGUCUGUGGCGAGGAGCACGCUCCGCUUCGACAGCUCGUCCGUCGACGUGUGAAGCCCACAUGUCUUCGCUGGAGAGUCUGAAAAAUCCUCUCAUCGAUUUUGGUUCAUCCUGCCAGCCUGUUCUAUCGUUAGAUACGUCAUUUAUACACAAUCAGGGGAAAAAGUUUGCUGAUGCAUACAGUAUGAUGGUUUUCAAUUGUCGUUUUAGAAUUGAGGGGAAGGAGUUUGCAGUGAUUGUUAAUGAUUUCAUAACUGUUAUGAGGACAUAAUAGAGUUCGAAGAUAUUGAAUGCAAUCUACAUGGAGAGGUUUGGUGCACUCUGGAUGGUGAAUAUGGUGGAUAAGUUGAGGGUGGCUAGUAAGUUGAAGGAUUUUGUCACUAAGUUCAAUGAGUCUUCAAGAGCUUUUUUGGCACAACGUUGUGAGAACAGUCGUCCUAGGUACUUGAUGGUACAUUGUAUGUGAAGGGGCAUCAGAAAGGAGUUGUGAUGGUGCCGAAAGACUUGAAUGGAGAGGGAUCGGCAUCAAUUUUGCUGGUGUUUUAGGUAGUUGUCAAUUCAUUCGUCACUAGAGACGAGACCAAAUGUCGAAUGGUGCCCGAAAGUAAUCAACAAGGAAUGACUUAAUGCCGGAGUUACGACGAACUUACAGGCUCCGCAGAAUGUUGAUCAAUGGGUGCUAAUGCGAAAGGAAAUGGUGAUUAAUGGGAGUGAAAAUGAAGGUUAAUUUAUGUUGCCUAAGGUUAUGGAAGCAAAUGCAGAAGGUGCACAUGGUAUUUUUUUGAAUAGCGCUGAAAUAAAGGCCCGUGUCUAGGCAUUAAACGGGGAGUUGCUGGAAUCAAUCAGGCUAUUGGGAAGUGGGUUUGAAGCGGGCUCCUAGAUAAUUUGUCACAAGUGUGGGGUGGGCAUGGAUGAGCCUUCGACGAUGGGAAAAAAGUAGCGAGUUUGGCUCCUAAGGAGUUAAACCGAAGGUGGUCCAUACGAAAGAAAAACAGGUGAUGAUUAAGUCCAUUUACGAUUCUCAGGCAUGGAUUGUAGCGGUGUACUCUAGUAAUGACGAUAGGGUCGGUUUAGUGGGGUUGUAUAGGGAUGUUAAAGACUCAGGGAUCAAAGCAAAUCGGGAGGUGGUAACUUGGUCCGAGGAAGGGGAGCCGAGUAUGGCGAAUAAGGAUUCAGUGACAAUGGGUGCGAUGGACACGAUUUCGUUAGUAGAGGGAGUUUUGUCAAUUGAGCAAGCGACGGGGUAUGUAUUGGUAGAGAAUUCAGUUUCAGCAAUUGUGAAAGAGCACGAGGCGACAAGCCCGACAACUAUGAUUGUGAACACAUACAAUUGGAGGUACUCUAAGUGCCUCAAAGGAAGGGACUUAGAAAAUGAAAAAGCUCUAGUGGUGUAGGUAGAUGGAGUCAAGAAAGGAGAAAUAGACAGUGAUGCAGGACAGGUGGAGGAAGUGAAGGGACAUAUCUAUGAUCGUUUGGAGUGUUGUCACGCAAAAAAUAUAGAAUCCACUCAUGGAGGGAGAAGUCCUUGCCGUAUCAGGUACUAAUCUAUUUUGAAGUUAGACCCCCCCACCUUGGAAUUAGGUUCUUCAAAAAAUUCAGGACUUCAGUAAGAUGGUUGGUGUGUCUUGUGAUGGAUAUGAAAGUAGACUCUUGUAAUUAUUUGAGGAACUGGAGGCUAGUAGGGGCAGGGAAUGAGUACACAAGGAGUUAAAUCAAGAAGAAGGGGUGAUUUUAACUUAAGUAACUCGAAUGGUCAGUAAACCAUGGCGUUAAGGGUAGUGACUCAAAGAAAGGAAUGUUAAGGAGGAUGAUGGAGUGCUAAAAUGAUCCUAAAAAUUAUUAACUGGAAUGUGAGAGGGCUUAAUGAAUAGGUGUUCGAAUCCUGUUAAGGGGAUGGAGAGCGGAUCUUGUCUGCCCACAAGAAACUAAGUCGGAGUUCCUCUCGAGGGCCGUGGUUAGUAACUUAUAGGGGACAUGAUGUAGGGUAUCAAUUUUUGGGGUCAUCAAGGGCUUUAGGAGGCAUGCUAAUCAUGUAGGACAUUAGAGUUUUCGAUAUGGAGGAGGUUAGUGUGGGGUUAUUCUUUGUAUCGCACUCAUUUAGAAAUAUUGGGGAUAGAUUCAAAUGGAUGUUUAUAGGAGUUUAUGGGCCUAACUAUGAUGAGAGUAGAGGGGGUUUGUGGGAUGAAUUGGCUGGUAUGAUAGCUUAGUGGAAUCUCCCAAUGUGUAUUGGGGGUGAUUUUAACAUGAUACGAUUUCCUUUUGACGAAUCUAACGACGGGAGACUAACGGGGGCUAUGAAGGACUUUUCAGAUUUUAUUUGGGAGAAUAUGUUGGUGGAUAUGCCAAUGAUUGGAGGAGAUUUUACUUGGUCAUCUAAUCGAGACCAUUAUGUUCUAUCUUAUAUAGAUCGAUUCUUGAUUAGUGGAGAGUGGGAGGCUAAGUACUCAGUUGUCGCGCAAAGGAGAUUAGGGAGAGUGUAUUCCGAUCAUUUCCUAUUCUUUUAUCUUGGAAUACAAGGGAUAGUGGAAGAAUGUCUUUUAGGUUUAAGAAGAUGUAGUUAAAAGUAAAAGGCUUUAGGGAGUGAGUAUGGACUUGGUGGGCUUCAUAUGAUGUCAAGGGAUCUCCCAGUUAUGCGUUAGAUUAGAAGUUGAAGGCUUUGAACGGGGAUUUAAAGAGGUGGAACGAGGAGGUGGUGAGCAAUGUAAACUGUUGUAAAAAUUAAAUGUCUUUCAGACAUGGAAGAGUUGUUUAGGCGGGAGGAGAGUCAAGGUUGGUUAGGGAAGAGGAGAGACGUGGAGUAUUAAGGGGAGAGUUGGAGAGGUUGGUGGAGAUAGAGGACAUUUCUUGGGGUCGCAUGGUUGAAAGAGGGGGACAAAUGCACCAAGUUUUUCCAUAGGGUCGCUUAUUCUAACGGGCGCAACAAUUCUAUCACAUUGUUGGAGGUAGAUGGGGUUACUUAUUAGGAUCCAAAGUAUAUCGGGACCCAAAUGGUGAGAUUUUAUCAGAAUCUUUAUUGAGAGCUGUUUGAGUGGAAGCCAGAGUUAGAGGGAUUGAAUUUUUCUACCAUCACGGAGGAGGAUGGUGGUUGGUUAAAGAGACCACUUGGGGAUGAUGAAAUUAAGGAGGUGGUAUUUAGUAUGAAUGAUGAUAAGGUAUCAGGAUCGGACGGUUUCUCGUUCUCAUUUUAUAAGGCGUGCUGGGAAGUGGUGCGACCAGACAUUAUGGAUGUUCUCACUUAUUUUUUUGAGUGUGGUAGGUUUUUGAAAAGUUUUAAUGUGACAUUUAUUGUGCUGAUUCCCAAGAAAUCAGGAGCAACUGAUAUUAAGGAUUUUUGCCCUAUUAGUUUAGUCAGUGAGUGUACAAGAUUAUUGCGAAAGUUCUGGCAAAUAGAUUAAAAGAAGUGCUAAGGAAAGUUGUCUAAGUUUCAGAAUGCUUUUGUGAAAGGGCACGAGAUUUUAGAUUCUGUACUUUUAUAGCGAAUGAAUGCAUUGACUCAAAUUGCUCUUGGGAGUUCUAGUGAUGCUAUGUAAGCUCGAUAUUUAGAAGGCUUAUGAUCACGUGAACUUGGGGUUCCUUUUGUACUUGCUUAGGUGAUGUGGCUUUGGGAUAAGUGGUGUAAGUGUUAUCAAUUUUAUAUCUCUACUAUAUUUUCAGUUUUGGUCAACGGUACUCUUGAAGGUUAUUUUAGGAGCAACAGGGGCUUAAGGAAAGGGGAUCCUUUGUUUCCAUUACUGUUUGUUAUUGUAAUGGAAGCUUUCAGUAGAAAGCAGGAGAAAGCUUUGAUGGAGGUUUGUUUGGGAAAGGUGAGCGAUGGCCCGAUCCUUUAAUGCAUCCUGCUGCUCCGCGGAGAAUUCCCCUCGCGGAUGGGGGAUCGAGGCUCGCUGUACGAUGCUAUCGAGUUCCCCCCUUAAGGGGCUUUACGGUUGGUCACGUGCAGGUGUCCCAUUUGUCAUUUACAGAUGAUACACUGAUCUUAUGGGAUGUAGAUGAUAAGUAAUUUAGGAACUUGCGCUGUUUGCUUCUAUGCUUUGAAGCGGUGUUUGGAUUGAAGAUAAAUCUGGCGAAAUUUGAGACUAUACCAGCAGAAGAGGUUGCUAAUGUAAAGGAGUUGGUUGAUAUAUUGGGUUGUAGGGUUGUGCAGUUGUCUAUGUCAUAUCUAGGGCUCUCUUUAGGGGUACGAUGUAAAAGUUUACAUAUUUGGAAUUGUAUUGUAGAAAGGGUGGAGAGGAGGUUAGCGGGGUGGAAACGUAUGUACCUAUCAAAGGGAGGUCGGUGUACUCUCAUUAAAUCUACUCUCUCUAAUCUUCCGUCUUAUUUUUUAUCAUUGUUUCCUAUUCCUAUUGUAGUAGCAAAUAGAUUAGAGAGGAUUUGAAGGGAAUUUCUUUGGGGAGGGUUGGGGGAGGAGAGGAAAGUUUAUUUGGUUAAUUAGGAUGAUGUUUGCUCUCCUAUGACGAUGGGGGUCUUGGAUUUAGGAGCCUUGUUUUGUUUAAUAAGGCUUUAUUGGGCAAGUGGUUGUGGCGAUUUGGAAUGGAAAUGGAGUGUUUUUGGAGAGAAAUCAUAGGGGCGAAGUAUGGUGUGACGGAGGGGGGUUGGUACUCGGUUAAGGUUCGUGGUUCUUAUGGGGUGAGUUUGUUGAGGUAUACUUGACGAUGGAGUGACCUCCAGGAUAGAUUGAUUUUUGCGGUGGGGAAUGGUAAUAAUAUUAGAUUUUGAGAUGAUUGUUGGUGUGGAGAUCAACCGCCAAAAUUGGGGUUUCCUUGCAUCACAUUGCCCUUGGGCCUUCUGCUACGGUGAAUUAUGUAUUAAGACAUUCACAAUAGGAGUUAUAGUUGGAAUAUUACUUGGUUUACAAGAUUGAGAAUUUGAUGAUUAUGUGCUGUUCUCCUUACAUGAAGUGGAAAUUCGAGUAGGAGGGUGAUCAUAGCAAGUGGAGGUUGGCACAUGAUGAUAUUUUUUCAGUUUGCACUUAUUUUAGAUCCCUUUUGGGACCUGUUUGAGAGUUCAUUCCCCUGGUAAAAGGUUUGGCAAUGUAAAUUGUCUCAAUGGGUGGCAAUUUAAACAACUUGUUCAUUCAUUGUGAUAGUGUUCGUUGGUUGUGGAAUAGUAUUCUAGCGUCUCAAUAUAUAGAUUGAGUGUUGCCUAGGCGCAUAGAAGAUGUGUUGCAUGCAUGGAGGAGAAAAUUUCGUGAUAAGGAUAGCAAGUUUGUAAGGGAUCUUAUCCCGCAAUGCAUUGUAUGGUGUGUGCGGAGAGAAAGGAACAGUCGCUAUUUAGAAGAUCAAACAUGGACGACAGAGCAAAUCAAAGGAUUGUAUUAUCUGACUUUGUAUACUUGGUUUAAUGCCGCAACUUCUAAUCUUAUAGAAGGACUACCUAAUUUCUUACUGUUUCUUUCUUGUUUAAAUUGAUAAUGCACUUCCUGUGUAUCUUCUUUUGAUUAAUAAAAUUACCUGAUUACCUAUAAAAAAAAGUGUUAUGAACUAUGUGUCUAAUUAAGGAAUAAACAUGAUGUAUGGUAGGAAUAUAAAGUCUUGAAUUAUUUUCUUGUUAGAGAGGAUUAUUUCCUUUUGAGAAAUAACCUCUUCAUGUAUAUAUAUUUGGUGAAUAGUUCCAAAUCAAUUAACAUGGUAUCAGAGCUAGGUUCUCAAAAUUAGGGCUUGCGAGUUUAAGAAAAUUUGUGGAAUUGUUCUCGGUGGUGGCUUUUUUCUGAGUCGGUGCUUUCUGUGUUGGAUCGACACUUAUCGGAGGUAAUUGUUGGUGGUUGAAGAUCAGGAGAGCCUUCUGUAGCAGCGGAAAUUGGGUUGCAUCGACUGUUCAUUGUCUUUUUGUGAUUUUGACUCUGUUUCUUUCCGGCUCCACGACAGACAACCCUGUUGACGUUGCGUGUAGCGGGUGUUGGGUGAGAGAUCGUCGUUUUCUCUUGACUUCUCUGGCUUUAUCGUUUCCUCUUCUCCUUUCGGUGGGUGAGUCGUCGUGUGCAGCAAUCUUCUGUGGCACCUACUAUAAACCAUCACUUAUCGUCUCCAUCUGCUGCUUCACCUCAGGAUUCGUCACCCUCUCUUGAUCCCAGUCUUGAUCUUCCCAUUACCCUUCAAAAAGGUAAACGAUCACGUACUUAUCCUGUUUCUUCUUUUGUUUCUUACCAUGUAUUGUCACAGUCUUCCAAGUCCUGUAUUGCCUCUUUAGAGUGCGUGUCAUUACCAUAAUCUAUGGUUGAGGCUUUGUCCCAUAGUGGCUGGCGAGCGGCCAUGCAGGAAGAAAUGAUGGCCCUGGAACAUAAUCAUACCUGAGAGUUGGUUCAUUUACCCCUUAAUAAAAAGGCAAUCGGAUGUAAAUGAGUGUUUACAGUCAAGAUGAACCCUGAUGGAUCUGUUGCUCGAUUGAAGGCUCGUUUGGUUGCUAAGAGGUAUGCUCAGACUUAUGGUGUGGACUACUCUGAGACUUUCUCUCCAAUUGCUAAGCUGGCUUCUGUUCGGUUAUUCAUUUCUCUUGCUGCUACUUUUCAUUGGCCACUUCACCAACUAGAUGUUAAAAAUGCAUUCCUUCAUGGUGAUUUACAAGAAGAAGUUUACAUAGAGCAACCACCCGGGUUUGUUGCUCAGGGGGAGUCCAGUAAGGUCUGCAAACUGUGAAAGUCAUUGUAUGGACUGAAACAAUCACCACGUGCUUGGUUUAGGAGAUUUAGUGAGGUGGUUAUUGAAGUUGGCUUGCAAAGAAGUGUAUAUGAUCAUUCAGUAUUCUUUAGACAGUCUAUAGUUGGGUGUAUUUUGUUAGUGGUAUAUGUUGAUGAUAUUGUGAUUACUGGGAGUGAUAGUAGUGGCAUAAGUAUGUUGAAAGCUUUCCUAGGCACAAGUUUCAGACAAAAGAGUUAGGUCCCUUAAAAUAUUUCUUAGGAAUAGAGGUCUCUCGAAGUGGUAAAGGAAUUUGUUUGUCUCAAAGAAAAUAUGUUCUAGACCUACUAGAUGAGACAGGUUUAAUGGAAGUAAAACCAGUUGAUGCUCCCAUGAUAUCAAAUGUGAAACUUGGGCCUGAAGAUGGAGAUGUAUUUGUGGAUGCAGAGAAACACAAGAGAGUGGUGGGAAAAUUGAACUAUCUCACGAUUACUCGUCCAGAUAUUGCCUUUUCAGUUAGUGUUAUUAGUCAAUUUAUGUCAUCUCCCAGAACUUCAUAUUGGGAUGCUGUAAUUCUUAUAUUGAAAUAGUUUAAAGGAGCUCCAAGGCAUGGAAUUCUUUAUAGAGACCAUGGUCAUUGUAGAGUUGAGGGUUUUUCAGAUGCAGACUGGGCAGAUUAUCCUGUUGAUAGGCGUUUUACUACAGGGUAUUGUGUAUUCGUUGGAGGUAAUCUGGUCUCUUGGAAGAGUAAGAAAUAAAGUGUUGUAGCUCGAUCAAGUGCAGAAUCUGAAUACCGAGCUAUGGCACAGGUAACUUGUGAACUUAUGUGGCUACAUUACUUACUUGGGGAGAUUGGCAUCGAUAAGUCCUACUCUAUGAACUUGUGGUGUGAUAAUCAAGCUGCUAUUCUCAUUGCUACAAAUCCGGUAUUUCAUGAGAGAACAAAGCACAUAGAGGCAGUCUGCCAUUUUGUUUGUGAAAAGGUUAUAGCAAAUUUCGACCAAGCAUGUUAGGGUAGGAGAUCAAUUAGUCGAUAUGUUUACUAAAGCGUUAACUGAGACUCGAGUAAACUAUAUUUGUAACAAGUUGGGCAUGAUUGAUAUUUAUACUCCAGCUUGAGGGGGGGUGUUAUGAAUUUUGUGUCUAAUUUAGGAAUAAAUGUGAUGUAUGAUAGGAAUAGAAAGUCUAGAACUAUUUCUUUGUUACAAAGGAUUAUUUCCUUUUGAGAAAUAACCUCUUCAUGUAUAUAUAUUUGGUGAAUAGUAAUGAGAAACGAAGGUUUUUUCCAAAUCAAUUAACAAAAAGUAAAAUGUCCAAACAUGAUUGGAAACAAAGAGUUCAGAAACAUGUUAUUUUCUUCAGUAAAUACCGACAUCUAUCAAAUAUCACUUACUCUUUGGAGAUGUCAUUUCUUCUGUGGGGGAAGAGGAAUUGAGGGUUGUGCUGUUUGUUCAGAACCUUCGAUGGUUAUGUAAGGUUCUUGAUAAGGGAGGCUACAUAGUUGAGAGGAAUUAGUACCUUUGGAUCCUCAAAGCUUGAUGAUUCAAUGAGCCCUGGGAUUGGCUCAGUUUCAAUGCUUUGAGUGUAUAGGAUAUGACAGGAAAAAUCAAAAGAUUUUGGAUAGUGAAGUACCCUAGGGGGUCAGUUGUGAAUGAACUAGGAGGAUGCUAACGGAAGUCAAGCAGCACGAGUAGGGUUUGAUUCCGCGGUGGAUGGUAUGGUCAUAGUGAACUGAGGAAAGGAUGGAUUCUGAAAAGUUUUACUAGCUGGGCUUGUAAAUAGCAGGGAGCUUAACUGGAAAAAAUGUUCAGUAAUUCAGUGCUGGAAUUCAUGAAAGAAUGUGGAGAGAAGGGGAACGUUUCUGGUUUGAUGUAGAGAAGUAGAUUGGAAGAAUUCAGUAGUUUCAAACUGACAUAGAUCAAAUCAGAUGUCUUCAUCAACCAUGGGAAGUACAGCUCUUGCAGCAUAGUAAUAUUGAAGAAUAAAAUUCUGGGGCAAUGCCUGGUCUUAUCCCAAGCAAUCAUGGAUCAAAGGUGUCAAAUGAACUUCGACUUGAGUUUGUGAGGACCUGCCUAAAUUAUCUGCCUAACCACUUGAUGAAAAAGUUUAAGUUGUUAGAGAUGGUCACAUAUAUAUCAUUUAAAUAUUUUCUUCAAUGCGCCCUCUCAGGUGCUGGCGGGAUUUAUUUUUUUCAUCAAAGCCUAACACGUGCACAAUCUCACUAAAUGCAUGGUGGCUAGACUUGAAAUUAGGACCUGUACUUUGAUAUUAUACCAUGGGGAACCAUUUGAUUUAAAAGCUUAAACUGUUGAAGAGGGCCAUGUGAAUAUCAUUUAAAUCUUGUUUUGAACAUAACCUAAUAGCAAUCUGACCAUAAAUUGAUACAAUUUAGACACGUGCCACGAGAAUAACCAAAUGUCAACAAGUAUGGGAAUUACUGAAAUGCCUUAGACUAAGCAAAGAACUAACAUCUUAGACAAUGCCAAGACACGAUAUGCCACAGUGAAUGCUUCUAGAUGGACUUAGGAGGAUUAUUAUUCUGCAGGAGUAACUGUUAAUUGUGAUGGAUAGACAGCUGAUUUUUUAGGUUUCUGGUAGACCACUGAAUCAUUAGAUUCUGUAAAUUUGUAAUUGUUCUUCACCAACUUUGAUGCUUCAUUAAUAAGGUUAUUCUUUCCUUUGUGAACAAUGAGGAUUACUAAUUUUAUGUCUUGGGAUCUUCCACAAUGAUAUAACUUACUUAUGAACUCUCUCAGCAUUUAAACCAUAAGAUUUCUUCUUUUCCUUUUUAUAUGUUUACUUAAUCUGACUUCUUUCAAUUUCGUUUCAUGAUUAUUGUGGCCUUUUAUUCUGCAUAUUGGAUAGAUGAUGAAUGCUGCUCCUGAAUAAUCUUGACAGUAAUAAGUAGGUUAUCUGACUGGCUUGUGUGCAUGCAAAGUAACAAGGGUAAUUUUGGUGAGCAGUGAUAUGCACUUCAAAAGUCUGUUGGUUUUUGAGUUUUUGGUCUAGAGCUUUAUGAUUCUGGAGAAGUUCCUUCGGGCAUUUUUAUAUUGCAAUGGUUCUAGGAGUAUUUUUGUAUGGGGAGACAGGUUGGACACGCAUAGUUAGGGAUUGAUGAUGCUAUUUACAGUUGAUGUUUUCAGUCUUCACUUUGUACAAUUGUUAAGGAUUUAUGGUUUUAGAUAUGUUGGAUUUUAUGCGCAAUAUUAAAGAGAUGAAAAAGAUAAUCAACACAAGAAUUUACGUGGUUCGGCGGUGUGCCUACGUCCACAAGAGCGAAGCGAAGAUUUCUUUAUUCAGUAGUGAAAAAUAGGGUUACAACAUAUUAUUUAUUCCGUUCCGUUAGAUGCGCUCAGCUCCUCUCACUCCACUCCGCUCCGCGCCGGCAUCGGCCCAUUUGAUCCAAUAUCUGUGUUCCACUCUAUAUGAACUACAUGCACAACAAGAUACUAGUAUGGUGGGUAAGAUCAAUUUAUAGCUCCUUAGAAUGAGAAUUCAAAGGUGAAAAUUGUGGAACCAAGUUGCCCUAUGCAAUGCCUCUAUCUUCUUUUGCUUGAUUUUUACCUCCAACCUUUCACUAAUAAGCAAGAAUUAUCCUUUGGACGAUUUCAAUUCAUUCCAGAGAGGCUAUGCUGUAUACUAGAGUAAAGAGUAAAAAAGAAACCUCAAUUUACUUUUAGAUAGUUCCUUCUGGCCUCAAAGUAAAACACUCUCUAAGAUUUCGUACUCAGGCAAGUUUGUUGGUCUGUGUGAAAACCAGCAUGCAGUUCAAUGAUUACCAUUUUUCUUAGGGUUUAAAGUUAUUUUAAUACUUAGGUUCUUUUUGUUAGCCAUAUAUAAUUGCAUGUAUUUUGGGAUUUGAUUGUAAUUUAUAUUAGGUUAAUAGGCUAAUUAGUUCUUACCAUAGUUAGAAAACUUACCAUAAUUGUUGUAAAUCUUAUCUUUAUAAGAGAGGUACUCCCUCGAUGGAAGGGAUAAUUUUUGAACAAUUCAAACCAUUUUAACAUGGUAUCAAAGCCCUCCCUUUAGAAUUUCCCUUCGAGUCUCGAUUUACUUUUGGUGCGCUUCAAUUGAGGAAUUUUUCUUGGGGUGUCGGCAAUUUUUUGUUCAUGAAAUUUCUCUGGAGCAAGCUUCUUGGUCAGCAAAAUCGGCAAUUGGAGUUGUCUUCUUGGUCGAUAGAUCCCACUAUUGGAUUUUCUUGGUGGUGGCUUGUUGAUUUGUGAUUGUGCAGGGAAUUUUUUUAGCUUUCCUCUUCUCGGGCUCCACAUGGUAUAUCUUCUGUGUCAAAUAAAUUCUGCCGACGAUUGCGUCUCGGGUUCUCGCCGUUCGCUGUUCGAAUUUUGUUUGACAGAUUCUUGGAUUGCGUCUUCGCAUAGGGCGUCGUCUACAGGAAGUCGUCGUUUUUUCUCUACUGGACACAGACAGACGAGUGAGCAGGUAAUCUUUUGGGUUUCAGAAUUCGGGCUGUGCAUAUUGGGCUUGGGCUUGAAUCCUUUUAAUAUCAUUUUGGAUUUAUCUCUUAAAAUUUAGACCGUUAAUCUUGGAUUUGUUUUGGACAUUUUCUUCGGAUUGGGCUUGAGAUUAUUUAGUUGGACUUGAUAUUUUAUUGGACUUGUAUCUUUGCAUUUCUUCAUGUCUGGAGAAAAUUCAAUUAUUCGUUUUAAUGGAAAAAAUUACUCGAGUUGGGAAUUUCAGUUCCGGAUGUUUGUGAAAGGGAAAGAAUUAUAGGGUCAUUUGGACGGCUCUUCUAAGGCUCCGACCGAUAUCAGAGAACUUAGCUCAUGGGAAAGUAAGGACGCCAAGAAUAAGUUCUGUUGAACCACACAUGGUCAACAAUCUUCGUUCGUUCACUACUGCUAAAGAAAUGUGGGAUUAUCUCAGGCGUGUUUACUAUCAAGAUAACUCUGCCCAGAAGUUCCAAUUGGAGUUAGAAAUUGCUAACUAUAAAUAGGGUAAUCUCUCUAUUGACCAAUUUUAUGCUGGAUUUCUUAAUUUAUGGAGUGAAUAUUCUGGAAUAGUUUAUUCCAAAAUUCCCAAGGAAGCUUUAGCUGCUCUUCAAGUUAUCCAUGCUGAAAGUCAAAGAGAUCAAUUUUUUACGAAGUUGAGACCUGAACUUGAGACUGCAGGGCCUGGCUUACUGAACCGUACUCCUGUUCCCUCUUUGGACGUAUGUUUGGGAGAACUAUUAUGUGAAGAAGAAUGUCUUGCCACUCAACUCGGCAUAACCGAAGAAUCAAUGACUACUGAGAUGGUUAAUGUGGCGUACGCUGCUCAAGGAAAAGGAAAAAUGAAGACCCAGAUACAAUGCUACAGUUGCAAGGAGUUUGGGCAUAUUGCGAAGAACUGCAAUAAGAAAUUCUGUAAUUAUUGCAAAAAGGAUGGACACAUCAUUAAAGAUUGUCGCUUACGACCUCAGAAUAGGCAAGGCUCAACUUUUCACAACGCAAUCCAGUCUAACUCAGCUGUUUUGUCCUUUGCUUCCACUCCUACUGUUUCUUCGUCUACUCUUACACCUGAAAUUGUUCAAUAGAUGAUUGUUUCUGCUUUUUCUGCUCUUGGUCAUCAAGGUAAGAAAAAUCUACUUGUCUCUCCUUGGUUGGUCGAUUCUGCAGCCUCAAAUCAUAUGACAAGUAAUACAGAGGCUCUGAUUAAUAUUCGUAAGUAUAAAGGUGAUCAACAUAUUCAAACUGCCAAUGGGAGUACUCUUCCUAUUACAGCAAUUGGAAAUUUGGGAUCUUCUUUCACUAAUGUAUUUGUGUCACCAGAAUUAUCUACGAAUUUAAUUUCUGUUGGACAAUUGGUUGAUGAUAAUUGUGAAAUCCGUUUUAAUCAGAAUGGUGGUUGUGUGCAGGAUCAAGCGUCGGGGAAAGUGAUCGCGAAGGGCCUAAAGUGGGACGUUUAUUUCCUCUUCAAUUUUCCAUUUCUGAUUCAUUUGCUUGUACUGCUAUUAUUAAUAGUAAUGUUUGGCAUAAGAAAUUGGGACAUCCUAAUUCUAAUGUUUUGAUUCAUCUCUUAAAGAAUGGUUAUUUGGGCAAUAAAAAUUCAUCUUCUCAUGUGUCUUCUGAUUGCAAUUCUUGUAAACUUGGUAAAAGCAAAUCCUUACCUUUUCCUUCACAUGGUAGUCGUGCUUCCACAUGUUUUGAGAUUAUCGUAAGUCCCGUACUUUCGCAUGCUCAAUAUAAGUAUUUCGUAAUAUUUAUUGAUGAUUAUAGUCAUUUCACUUAGGUCUAUUUCCUUCGAGCUAAAACUGAUGUGUUCUCCAUCUUUCAAAACUUUGUUGCUUUUGUUGAGACCCAAUUUUCUACUAGCAUUAAGAUACUUCGUUGUGACUCUGGAGGGGGAAUACAUGUCCAACAAUUUCCAAGAAUAUCUAAAAACAAAAAGGGAUUCUCUCCCAACGAUCUUGACCUUACACUCCCCAAUAGAACGGGGUUGCGGAGCGUAAAAAAUGUCACUUUUAAGAUGUUGUUCGUACUUUAUUAAUUAAAUCUUCAGUACCCUCUAGAUUUUGGGUCGAAACUUUAUCGACAGAUGUCUAUUUGAUUAAUCGUCUUCCCUCUCCAAAUUUACAAUUUGACUCUCCGUAUUCUCGAUUAUUUAAUGUAGCACCUGAGUAUGAUUCACUUCAUAUAUUUGUCUAUGUUUGUUUUAUCCACUUACCUUCUACUGAAUAUCACAAACUUACAGCUCAGGCUGCUCGAUGUGCAUUCCUCGGGUAUAGUAAUGCACACAAAGGGUAUGUGUGUUAUGAUGUGGAUGCUAACAAAAUUCGUAUCUCUCGAAAUGUGGUUUUCUUUAACAACGAAUAUUUCUUCCAGUCUCGUGUUGUUCAUGAUUCUGCCUCUAUUUAGCUUCCUACGUUUGAUGAUAUAUCUUGUAAUGUUGAGCGCUUUAAGGCGGGAUUUGUAUACUAGAGAAGUCCCCUCCUGCCACCUUCGGACACUGAACCGUCGCCUGAUCCCAUCAUCCCUGAACCUCGAUGAUCUUCUUGGGUCUCACGCCCUCCAGAUAAGUAUGGUUUCUCGCAUAUUGCUAAUCAAGCUACCCUUGAUACUACUUCUGUGCCCAAAUUUUACUCUCAAGCUUCUAUUCAUGCAUUUUGGUGGAAAGCUAUGCAGGAAGAACUUCAGGCACUUUAGGAUAAUCAUACUUGGGAUAUUGUUCCAUAUCCUGAUGGGGUAAAACUUCUUGGAUGCAAAUGGGUAUAUACGAUUAAACUUCGGCCUGAUGGUACUAUAGAGAGAGAUAAAGCCCGAUUGGUGGCUCUUGGGAACUAUAAGGUGUAUGGUCUUGAUUAUGAGGAGACCUUCGCCCCUGUCGCAAAGAUGACUACUGUGAGGACUAUUAUGGCUAUAGCCGCUUCUAGAGAAUGGUCUCUCAAGCAGAUGGAUGUGAAAAAUGCAUUCUUACAUGGUGAUUUGAAGGAGGAAGUAUAUAUGAGUCCUCCUCCUGGUAUGUUCUCUCACUCUUCUACUGAGGUUUGUCGGUUGAGGCACUCUUUAUAUAGAUUGAAACGGGCACCAUGCGCUUGGUUUGAGAAGUUCCGUACCACUUUACUUGAUUUUCAUUUCACUCAAAGUCAGUCUGAUUCCUCCCUAUUUCUUAAACGCACUAUUGAUGGACUUGUUGUGCUUUUGGUAUAUGUGGAUGAUAUUGUGAUCACAGGAUCUGACACUCAGUCGAUUGUGCAACUUCAGCAGCAUCUUAACACCACCUUUCAUAUGAAAGAUCUUAGUUCUCUACAGUAUUUUCUCGGUUUUCAGGUGCAUUCCUAUCCUCAUGGUCUACUUAUACAUCAACACAAGUAUACCCAAGAGAUUCUCACCUCAGCUGGCCUUCAAUCUGGGAAUUCCGUGCUUACUCCACUAGAAGUUAAUUUCAAGCUCAGCCAAGAUGGAGGAGAACUCUUACCUGAUCCAUCCUUAUACCGACAGCUUGUAUGAAGUUUGAACUAUUUGACAAUUACUCGACCCGAUAUUUCUUUUGCUGUACAACAAGUCAGUCAGUUUAUGCAGGCUCCACGACAACCUCAUUUAGCAACCGUACGAAGAAUUCUUAGUUACCUCAAGGGUACAUCUGGUCGAGGGUUGUUUUUCCCUAUAGGGAAUUCUUUGCAAUUAAAGGGUUAUAGUGACGCUGAUUGGGUUGGUUGUGUGGACACUCGACGUUCAGUUACUGGUUGGUGCAUGUUUCUUGGUGAUGCACUUAUAUCUUGGAAGAGUAAGAAGCAGGAUCGUGUCUCGAAGUCCUCUACUGAGUAUCGUGCUAUGUCAUCCGCCUGCUCAGAAAUUGUGUGGCUUCGGGGUUUGUUAGGAGAACUUGGAAUCCCUUAGCUUGCUUCUACUCCGCUUUAUGCUCAUAACACCAGUGCUAUUCAGAUUGCCGCAAAUCUUGUAUUUCAUGAACGCACCAAGUAUAUUGAAGUAGAUUGCCAUUCUAUCCGUGAAGCCCUUGAUCAACAUGUGAUUACACUUCUUCACAUCUCCACGGAACAUCAAACUACAGAUGUUUUUACCAAGGCCCCUAUCUCGCCAAUGUCAUCAGUUCAUGAUUGACAAACUGAUGCUUUUUGAUCGACCAGUAUCAAUUUGAGGGGGGAUGUUAGCCAUAUAUAAUUGCAUGUAUUAUGGGAUUUUAUUGUAAUUUAUAUUAGGUUAAUAGGCUAAUUAGUUCUUACCAUAGUUAGAAAACUUACCAUAAUUGCUGUAAAUCUUAUCUUUAUAAUAGAGGUACUCCUCGAUGGAAGGGACAAUUUUUGAACAAUUCAAACCAUUUUAUCACUUGUUUCAAUCAAAAUGACUAGACAAUGUUCUAACUUUGUUGUUCACAGAUUUUUACAUCUCUAUUUGAUUCUAUUCAUUGGUCUGCAGUACAUUACAAACUAGCUCCAUUGGCAUCCUAGUUUCCUUGUAAUUGGAUGUGAAAUUUUUAAAUUAUUUUUUCCAGAGUUGUGGGGGUCCUAAUGCUCAUGGGAUGAAAAGUGCCAGUGGUAAAAUGGCAAAACAAGCUGCAUUGGCUUUUGUCAAGCGGACAUUGGAACGAUGUCGGGAAUUUGAUGUAACUGGAAAGAGCUGCUUUGGUGAGCCUUUGUAUAAAGAAAUUUUCCUUUCUGGAGUUGCACACCUCGGUGACAUACAAGCAGUGAAUUCAAGUGCUGAUAAUGAAUCUGGAAAGCAGCAGUUUAACACAUCUGGAUGUUCUAUUGAAGUUAGAACUUCAGGUUGGUCCCAUUGAUAGAUACCUGAAUGCUUAUCAACAUUUUAGUAUCUUUAAAUAAGUCUUACAUUUGCAGGUUUUCUGCAUUCUAAUUUAACUAGCACUACUUAGAAUAGAAACUAAUACAUAUCUCUGGCUAAAUCUGAUGGGACCAUCAGAUAUGUAUAUCCAUAAGCCCUGUGGAUGAGGUUUAUGUAUGAAACACGGUUCUCACGUUCUCAACCCUUGACAACAUGCAUUUGUGACUAAAUUUUUAUGAAAAUUAGCAUGAUAAGAUUUACUUUACUCUGAAGAUUGAAUGAUUUUCUUGCAAAAGAUUGUGGGCAAAAUAAAAUAAUGUGACAAAAACAUUUUUCCUGAUUAGUCUUUAAGACAUGCUUCUAGCUGUAAUGUGAAAUGUUUGAAGUUAAAAGGAUCCGAGUAGGUAGGUUAAUUUAGGCACAGUAUUGUAUACAUAGGGCAUUAAUGGUAUAAAAGACUUGUUUGACAAGCCUCUAGCUAUUUUUUCUUAUGUUAUGAUGGUACUUUUUUUGUCCAUUAUCUUAGUAUUGGAGGUGUUUUUUGUUUUGCAGCUCCCUUGGGAGCACAGCACAGCCCAUCUUCAAACAAUCAAGAAAUUUAUUCUUCUGGAGCUCCCAAAUCGGCAAAUCUAGGUUCUGAACAAACUACUGGCAAAGACAACAUCUGGUCGAAUAGGGCGAAGAAGUGCGAGUUACCGCCUGAUGAAACUGUUGGUGGUACACUUAGCUCAUCCACCAAUGUCUCAUCAGGCAUUGGAAGUUCUAUUUUGAGCAGCGCAAAAGGGAAAAGGAGUGAGAGAGAAGGAAAGGGAAAUAGCAGAGAGGCGCUAUCCAGAAGUGGAAGCACUAAAGUUGUUCGGGCUGCACUGGCCAAUGUCAAGGGAGAGAGAAAGCCUAAAGCAAAACCUAGACAGAAAACAGGUCAACUCACUGCUUCUGUCAAUGGCCCUCUUGGAAAGAUGUCUGAGCGGCGAAAAACAACAUUGCUUUCUGCACCCAUAUCAAAUGAGAGGAGUGGAAGUGGCACUGACAAUGAUAAAAAUGACGAUAAUGUAGACCUCUUGGAGGAACCCAUAGAUUUGUCUGGCUUGCAACUUCCUGGAAUGGGCGAUCUAGCUGUACAUGAUGAUCUUGCUGGUCAAGGAGAGGAUCUAGGGUCUUGGUUGAACAACAUUGAGGACGAUGUAUUGCAAGAUCAUGACUAUAUGGGUGGGCUUGAAAUUCCUAUGGAUGAUCUAGCAGACUUGAAUAUGAUGGUUUGACCUUUCAAUCUUUGUAUAUUCCUGUCUAUUAUACAAUCACAGGUGAAAAAUCGUUGUUCGUGGAAGACCAGUUACAAGGAUGUCAUGUGACUCAGUCCUGGCUGUGAGUGGGCCAUAUAUUCUUUUGGUUACUCCCUACACAAGUUGAGGUUUGAGUGAACCUCUGAGACGCUUGAAUGUUUUUCCUGUUCAAGUUGACACCUUGACUGUAAAGAUCAUUUUGUUUGACGUUAGUAUCUUAAUGAUAAGGUCUUAGAAAACCUAUAUUUUGGUUGUAGCAAUUACAUAUCAGAGAGCAAUGUCUUUGUACAUAAAAUUUAUAUUUUCAAUAAGUUACCAUUUUGUUUAUUUUGCAAUAUGGAGUAGGUGUUGUGAGAUGUUUUGACUUGUGUGUAUUAUGAGCUUCUAUUUCAGAUUUGAUUAAGUUGAUAACCUUAAAAGGUCGACUCCUUAUCUAUUGAAGUUACAGUUGCCCUAACUAUUUUGAGUGUGUAUGAUGCAGAAAGCCCUCAUUGUUCCCAUUGACAUCUGAGAUUCCUCGUUGAAUACGAAGGUAUUAACAGUGUAAGCUAAGAGGUGGUGCAUGUGCCGGAUUAUGGUCAAGUGGAUGAACUGUUUUAUUGGGGAUGCAAUCUACUGCAGACCAUAUAUCCUAUUUAAUCCCCAGGUUGACUUCCUUCAAAGUAUGCAUAAUUAACAUCCAGGACUUUCUCCGUGAUUGUUUAGUUAAAUGCUACUUAUAACUGGAGAGGAGCUACAAACUUGACUCCAGUAUAUAUAGGGUUUGCCAAUAUGUUGGUUAUCAAUUACUGAAUUGUAUGCUGUUGUGCUACUAAUGCAGCAUUUGUGAAGAAGUUCCGAGGCUUAUUUAAGAACUAGCUGCUUUUGAUUUUCCAAAAGUCACGUGCUCUUCACUAAUUUCCUCAUAUUGUCAUAGGAUAAUUAUAUAUUAUUCAUUUUAUUUCAUUUUUGUAUUAUAAAGUUUGUUUCAUUGACUAUGCAUCACUUAGUAUUGCAUAAUAUGUCCUCGAGAAAUUUCCUCUAAAUCAAGGAAAUAUUAUGAUUAUCUUGCUCCAGGGGUGAGAGAUUAUGUGGCUGUCUUUAUUUUCGUUGGAGUUACCCUACAGACUCUUGGAGGCUGAAUGCAUUUCUUGACUACAGUUAUUUGAAAACAGCAUGCCUUGGCAGCAAGUAUUUGAUGGCCCAAUAUUUUGGACACACUUCCUGUGCCAUCUGUCUUGGGAAAAUUUAUUCCUGCUGCUGUUCGAAGCAGCCCAAAAUAUAUUCUGUCACAGAUUCUCACUCCAGAUAUGUGGUAAAUCAUUGUUUUUACCUGUUUGAUUUUGAAGAUUUAUUUAUCUGAAUUUUAGCAAUUAGUUUUGCUAAAUUACAGGGGUAACAUCCUUCUGAAUAUUGUGGGUUUCAAUUUUUCUGAAGGUGUUUUUUCCAAUAAAAAUAUUUUUAAACACUGCAGACUAUUACAUGAAUACAAAACUUCUGUGCCAAUGAUGCAGUCAAAGUAAGUCCACUUAUGAUGCCCUAUGUUGCCUGCUACUCACAGUAAAUAUUUUUGUAUGAGGAUGUGGAGAAGUGAAUCCUUUUGUUCUGGUAUGUGGAUUUUUAUUAUUUAUAUCUGUCCAUCACACUUCACAAGUAGGAACAGUAUUCCUACCAAAUGAUAAAAGUUACAAAUCUCUGAGUCUCACAGCUUAAUGUUUAUUUCAUUCAGACAGGAACUCCUCUCCAAGUGGCAGCACUUGUACAAUUGAUUGUGCAGAAUAUGCUACCAGAAAUUACCUCUUCAUGUAAGGUAUUCGUAGUCAAUUUGUUUGAAGCAUUUUACUAAGUUCUUAUGUCAUUUUCAAAUAUCUAAACCUUUCACUGAUAGUACAAGCUAAAGAAUUAAAAAUCUGAAAAUAAAUCUAUCACAUUCGAAAAAUGUUGUGCUAAUAAAAAGGUCAGCGUUAAACAAAAUGUGGACGAAAUGAAAAUGCUUAUAUGAUUGUUGAUACUGCAAUGGAGGAUAAUAUGGAAGAGCCGUAUGAUUUCAGAACUUGUUCAGAUGUGAUGUAAUGCUAUCUGUAAAGUUGUGUGCAAGGCUUUAUUAGAUGUUUUAUUUUUAUUUAAUUGUUUUAUUUUUACUAAUUAAGGUCUAAUUUAUAUUUUUAAUUAUCUAGGGUUGAAUUUAUAUUUCAUUAGGAGUUUAGGAAGUAUGAAUGCAAUUUUAAUUAGGUUUGCUCUAGGUAUUAGAGCCACAACUGUAUUUCAGGGACAUUUUGAUUGAUUGACAAAUUAUAUUAAUAUAAAUGUGAGUUUUUUCUUCAAUACUGAACCAAAUCAAGGUUUUCGCUUGUUAUUGUUCUUGCUCACUUCUAUCUGCAUCAAGAUGGCCUGCACCAAUUUGUAGAAUAUCACUUGAUACAUUAGGUUAUCCCAGGGAAACAAAUUAUUCCAGAAAUUUGGCAAAAAGUGACAACAUUGAGUAUUUACAAGUGAAGUUUGGCCAAGGAGUGCACCAAGAGAUAACAUUUGACAGAAUAAAUAAGACAAAUUGCAUCCUCUAUCCCCAAACUAUACCCCAUUUGCAGUUUUAUCCCCAACAAUUUUUCUUGGCACUGAGCACCUCAACUUUGUUUCCAUCCAAAAUGGUUGUUAAGUUGGCAACGAAAGGCAUUCACACUUAAAACUCAAAUAAACAAAAAAAUAAAUACAAGGAAGGAAGGAGGAAGAAGAAAAGAGAAAAAAAAAAAAAAAAAAAGAAGAAGAAGAAGAAAAAAAGGAAAACAAACACCUUCUUUCUCAAUCCUCUGCAGCACCCACCGCCACCAAUGCUACCUCUUCGCGUGCAAAUGUGAGUAUAGGGUGGGGCUGCGAGUGUAAUUAAUGUGGAAAAAAAUUAGAAAAAGGCAAGAGCUUGUUUUGUAGGUAAAAUGUGGAUGAAUAACAAAAUCAUAAUAUAUUGACAAUCAGUUGCAGUAAACCUCUGUUACCUUGGUUUAUCUGAGUUGCGCAACCAUUGUCGUCUAUAUAGUCCUUUUGAGAACAAUUGUUCAAUAACUUAUAUUCCUGGCAUUCAUGUAGAAGGAACUGCAGAUAUGCACCUUGGAAAGCAAAAUACUUCUAGCAAUCACUAUCUUGAUAUUGUCAAAGCCAUGCUCUUGGUGAUCUGUUUGGGGCUUUCAAUAUAUAUGCUGGGCUUUUUGACUGAAAACUGGGAUGGAUCGUGGUCAUGAGUACUUUACUUUGUUAGCAUUAUGGGAAUAUGAAGGCGGAUGGUUUCCUCGUGCUGCAUUAUUAUUGCAAGUUUAAUGAAAGGGUUUGUUGGGUGCAGUUACCCCCACUGGAGUUUGAGGGAAGGUCUUUGAGAUGGAAAAGAAAUAGUGAGAUGUCAUGUAAAUUGUAAUUCUGACGAAUCAAUGUGAAAAAACUUGUUCUUUUUGUUACGUAUUGUCAUAAUUAGCCAACCUACUUGGGCCUAUGGCCCACUCAAUCCGAACCAUGUGGCGCUCUAACCGAGGUGGCACGUAUGGCCGAGGCCCUUCAUGUCGAGACCCAUAUACCGAGGCCUGUGAAAGUAGCCGAAGCCCUAAAGCGGAAGUAUUACAUAUGGCAGAAGCCCUGAAUCCAAAGCCGAAGCAGAAGCCUCCGAACCGUGAAGGAAUGUCUUCCAUGAUUACUUCUCCCAAGAGAUCUUCUACAUAAAGAUCUUACUUGAAUGAUUGAUGAAACGUUUGUCAUAAGUGUACAUGUCAAGUUUUUUCAUUAGCAUGGGGGUUCUGCAUAAGCAAUAAAUGCGCAGCAAGCUAGCAAGUCAAGGAUGAUGCCUAGGAUUGGAUGUUUGGAUUAAAGAGAUGAGGCCGCGUGCCACCUCAUCCAAGGACUGUCAUGUACCACUAUAAAUACUUCCCUUGUGUAACAUUAAAGGGCUAAUGCAAGAAUCAAUACAAGAAACCAUACUUUACUCUCUUUCAAAUUAUCUUGCAACACAAUACAAGUUAAUACAUAUUUACAUGCACAUUCAUGAGCACUUAUUGGUAAUUAUUGUACAAUCGGAUUACGAACAUCCCAUCGGAUUCCGAACGUUCUCG
Molecule: long non-coding RNA, 23828 nt
Filed under: Olea europaea subsp. europaea
Lineage: Eukaryota; Viridiplantae; Streptophyta; Magnoliopsida; Lamiales; Oleaceae
Source: RNAcentral